Molecule: non-coding RNA, 26 nt
Filed under: Cricetulus griseus (Chinese hamster)
Lineage: Eukaryota; Metazoa; Chordata; Mammalia; Rodentia; Cricetidae
Source: RNAcentral
CCCGGCCAAUGCAAAGAGAACUUUUA